This is a long non-coding RNA of Xiphias gladius (swordfish), 1555 nucleotides long. RefSeq lists it as uncharacterized. Lineage: Eukaryota; Metazoa; Chordata; Actinopteri; Istiophoriformes; Xiphiidae. The record is from RefSeq and is a predicted model, not a curated record. The transcript has 6 exons.
UAAAAAACCAAAACAAAGAUGGCAGCCGGUCGGCUGCUUGGUCAGAGAAGAGAGUUGCCACUUUCAGGGGAAAUAGUUGAAAAUCGUUUUUAUCUUGCGGCGCACUAAAUAUAUAUUUUUUUUAAUCCAGAUGGUUAGAGGAGUCUCUUGGGUUUUUGCCAAUACCUGCAGAACCGCGGCUGCCUGGCAGUCGGGCCACUCCUGCAGUCAGGGCUUGACAAGCAGCGGAGGGAGAACGGCUUGUUGAUCAUGCCCUCUUCUUCCUCUUGACCUGGAUGUCUUCACACUUCUCUGCGACAGCGGAGAGAUGGGGAAUAACACGCUACAGAGGUCCCCAGCCCUGCAGGAUGCGCCAUAUCCUGGUCAAGGGUUGCCGCUUAGCCCGAGGGAAGAGAGGCACAUGUGACACUGGAUCCUGGCUGGGUUAAUGUCAUUACUCGAGCAGGCGACCCCCUCCCUCUGCCACCCUCAGACCUGCUGCUGGAGGUUCAAAAACCCACUUCCUGGUACUUCAUUUCAAGGGAUGUAAUAAGACAUGUGUUUCCUGAGGGCGGCUCAGAGGAGUAGGCUCAACUCCCCUGGACUAUUCCUUCGCUCCUCCACCCAAUGUUGACCCCCACAGCUGGCUCACAGUGUUGCCUAUCCCAGCAGCACCCACACCCUUGGGGGCUGCAUGGGGGCGUGGAGCAUCCCAUCCCGACAGCACUCUACAUCCCAGACGUAAACACGGGUGACAAAUGGGCCACGAUAUCAGAUAUCAGGUGUCAGCGUGGAAGAUUUAUAAGGUAACAAGACAAUGGGAGGCAGACACAAAAAGCCUCUAUCUACCAUCAGUGCUAAGAGGGCGGCUUCCCCACCGCAGCAAAACCCACUUUGGUUUCAGCAGCCAUGGAGAAAAUCAUUUCCCCUUUAAUCCUCUCAGUUUUCUCAUCCAUGCGGCACAGAUUAGGUGCUCUCACACAGCUGAAUCAGAUGUCCAUGGUUCACCAGGACAACAUGUUUUGGAGUACAGACUGAAGUCGGAGGAGUCAGGCACAAGAGAGCUUGUUGUUAUUGUGAAAUGAAGGAAGUCCCCACUCAUGGAAAUGGAAGUUCUGGGUCAUGUAGAGCUUGGCCAGGGAUGGAUGGAGGAGGCAGUUGUCCAUGUCAUCCCGCUUCACAAUCAGUGGCUGGUCGACAAACAGUAGUCUUAGCAGGAAACCCCUCACAUCUCUGUGUCUUAAAUCAGCUUUAAGGAGAUUUCCAAGUUUUCAAAACACAGAUCUUGUUUUUGUCGGUGAAUCUUUGAUAAUAAUGCACAGUAUAUGAUCAGUCUGGGUUUACGUGGGAGGAGGCGUGUGCAAGCAAAAAGAUGGAGCAGCAGACCUCACAGAUGCAAACAGUGAAGGGGAAUAAAAAAAAAGUUGAUUUAACACUCCCGGUUUGGACGCUAUGAACUGCUGCGAUAUACAGAGAGUGUAUACGGAGUGAAAUGAUAAAAUAGCUGUUAUCUACAUGCAUCUGGCUCACUAUCUACAAGGUGGUUCAACUGAGAUCAUAUGUGUUGAAUUUGUGC